UUCCUACAGCAUUUCAAAGAAACGAGUUGUACGCGUUCUACGACAGAAGUUGAGUGUAUCGUGAAAAAAAGUGUAAACACUGUUUAUUUUUUUACCAAGAGGAGUAAACUAAGAAGACAGAUUCACAUCCAAGAAAAGUCACCAAAUUCAUCUUCUUUUUUCGUUGAUUAUGUCGGCUUUACGGUAAUUCAGUAAUCACAAUCGGAGAACCUCGCACGUCGAUUGUCACAAGUAUGCAAGCCAAGAAAGAGAGUAAAUAAGAAGAACACGUCGAUUCUAACCUCAACUUGUUGUUGGUUUGUUUGAAUAAUUUUUUCCAAUUUAUGUACUUCCAAUAUGUAGGUAUAUAUUUCUUUUGUUUUUCAAAUUACAAUAAAAAAUGUUGGAUUGGUAUGAAGAAGUUGAAGAAUUUUUAGAGUUUAUUUCUUAUAUUGUAGAAGAAAAUCGCCCGGAAAGUAUACGAAAGCCAUGUGAUAAAAUUAUAUCAAAUCCAAUGGAAUUUUACAAUAUUGAAUUUCAUCAGCUGCAAUAACUUAAACAACAAAGAUUUUAUGCUACUUUAUAGGAAUAUAACCAGUUUUUAUGAAGUUGCCCAUUUCAAAUUACAGCUCUUUCAUGUUCUAGAAGCGAGAUUAUGAAUGUUGUUGGUUGUUGGUGAACAACAAGGUCAAGUUAUGUUGGCUUAAUAUUUGAUCUAAGUGCAUUAAGAGGUAUCAUGAGAAAGAGUGAAAUUCCAGGAUUAUUAAUUGGCAAUAGUAGAUACGCAUGCAAAUACUAUCUAUUUACUUCAGUAUUACAGCCAGGUGCCAUCUGUGAGAGUCCACAACUCAAGUCCAUACAACAGUACACUAAAGAUAUAACAUCAUAGUAACCUGAUUUUUAUGGGUAUCGACAAAUCAUGACAUUUGAAUAACUUAGCCAUUGCUUGAAAUGUAGAUCUUGCUUUCUCUAUCCUACAUUUGAUUUCUAUGGAAUGAUCCCAAUCUUCAUUGACGUUCGUACCAAGGUAGGUGUAUGUAUUUACUCUUUCUAUUUGUUGACUGUUCACACUGAUUCGUCUAAAUUGCUGUUCCUUCUUAGAGAUCAUCAUACAUUCUGUUUUCUUAGUGUUUAGUGAAAGUCUGCAUCACUGAUUGACUUCUGCGAUUCUGUUCAAUAAAUAUGCACCAGAAAUAAACAAACCAAGACACUUAAAUGUUACGAGGAGUACUCCCUAAUCAUGAUUUACACAAAAAAUAUAUAAACCUUGUAAAUCAGGAUUUGGGAUUUACAAUGUACUUAUAUAAAUUGUAAAUUAUUAUUUAGGAGUGCACCUCGUAACAUUCAAUGUUUCUUGGUUUAUUUAUUUCUAAUGCAUCUUUAUUGUGAUUGUAGUAAGUAUAAUAUAUAGGUAUAUAUGUAUAUCUUUUUAGGUAAUGAUCAAGAAAAUAGAUACAAUAGUGCACAUGUAAGAACAAGAAAUGUUGCCGAAAAGCUAUUUGGAACCUGGAAAAAACAGUUUCCAUGUCUUCAAAAGUUCUACAAACCGAAUUAAAUACAUACCUUGCAAUAUGUGCUACAACAGUACCUUAUAAGUUAUAAUCUGGGUGCAAGAGAAAAUCAUGAUGGUGAUGAUGAUUUUGUAGAAAAUCUUGAUUUGUCGGUAAAUGGAAAUGUUAAUGAUGUGGAACAAUGUUUAAAUUUUAGGAGGCAUUUUUAUCGACAAUAUUUUGCAUGAGAAUGAGAAUACAUUAUUGAAUACUUGUAAUAUAUUAAAUGUUUUUUUUUUAAUAUUUAAUGGGUCGUCUUUCUUUGGGAUUUUUUGCCUAUUAUUUCUCAAAUAUCAUGAUCAUUGGCUUGACAACUCUUUUUGUUUGAGUUUUGGUCCCUUCAGGAAUACUUACUUCUCCAUUCUAAUCUAUUUGAAGAUUUUGAUUUUUUGUUCUUCCAAUUUUUUAUUUUUAAAAUUUCAAUGUCUUAUCCUAUUUGUUCCUUGCCUAUAUGUAAUCUUUGGUCUUCCUCCUGUUAAUGUCCAGCUGAUAUUUCUUUGUUUAUUUUGGAAAAUAUUUCAUGUUCUUCCAUCUUUCCUCUUAUUAUGUGCUCCUAUUUUGAUGAAUGUUAGUAUAUAGAUUCUGGUAUGUCCUGUAUAGUUCAAAAUUAUAUCUUCUUCUCAAUUUCCCUUUUUUUUUCUUCUUUGUAUAUGUGUCAAGAUUCUUCUGCCUAAGUAACCAAUUGGUCGUCUUCACUUUAAGUAAGUAACCAGAUUUCAGAUUCAUAUGUAAAUACUGGAUGUAUUAAGGUUUUGUGCAAUUGACAUUUAGUUUUUCUUGUAAUAUCUUAUCUUGGUUGUUUGAUCGAGCCCUGGUAACUUUAAUUGGCUAUGAACUGUUUGUAUUGCUAUGUUAGAUGCUAUUUAGCCUGAUUUCAGUGCUUUGUUAUUGUUUAUUUUAUCUACUUGUCUACUGCUAGUCUAUUAUUGUACUUUCACUAUAUAUGUUUUGAAUUUAUAUAGUAAUCUGUCUUUCUCUUCUAUCUAUAUUCCACUAGAAUUUGUUUAUUUAUUCUGAGAAUACAUUAUUGAAUCCUUGUAUAAUGUGAGAUAUAUGUAGUUUCUUUUUUAGUUUACUUCUCAACAUGUAUUUUUUAUAUUUGAUGUUAAAAUAAAUGAGUACGAGUUUUUCUCCUUUUAAA
This is a long non-coding RNA of Diabrotica virgifera virgifera (western corn rootworm), 2670 nucleotides long. RefSeq lists it as uncharacterized. The record is from RefSeq and is a predicted model, not a curated record. The transcript has 3 exons. NCBI's taxonomy places the organism in Eukaryota, Metazoa, Arthropoda, Insecta, Coleoptera, Chrysomelidae.